This 600-nucleotide long non-coding RNA is filed under the name Olea europaea subsp. europaea. The record is from RNAcentral. Lineage: Eukaryota; Viridiplantae; Streptophyta; Magnoliopsida; Lamiales; Oleaceae.
UGGAGAUGAAAAAUUAAGAGAGAAAAUUGUAAGAUGAAGAGAAGAGAAGAGAGAAAAUUUAUUGUUUUUCUCCUAAGUUCUUUUUUUUUCUACUUGUUUUCUCCUAUUACAAGAGAGAUUAUUCGUUGUUAUCUCCUUGUAUUUAGAGAUAUUAUUGUAAUUUUCCUAUUAUAGUGAAUCCUCCCAUACUUGCCCAUGGACGUAGCCUAAAUUGGGUGAACCACGUAAAUACAUGUGUCCAUUUUUAGUUGUGUUUUCUCAAUUCCAUUAUUUGUCAACCAAACUCGACCCACGCGUUUUCUCCCCAACAAAACCUGUGUUAUUAUGUAAUUUACAUUACUUAUUGACAUUAUUAUGCGGUGGUAAAUAUUAAUAUUAUCACCCACCAUAUAAAACUUUUGUUAUUAUUAGUCAAAGUUUAACGUGUAUUAUGCUGUAAAAGUAAAAUUUGAUACCAAUUUGUUAGGAGGAUUUGUUGAGUCUCAAAUGAAUUAAAUAAAAUAAAAUUUAGGAUAGAAAAUUUAAAAGAAGAAAAUUGUAUUAUCAAAAUUCAAAUUUUAUGAUCUAAUUUUUUUAUGAUGAUGAAAUACUACAGAUGAG